UGAGUGGUGUUUGGUUUGUUACGGGUGGUUGGCUCUUUGCUUGCGCAACAACUUCUACCUGGCAUACCUCUUCAGUCUUGUGUCAAUGCUUGUAUUGCAUUGAAUGCACGGUGGGUUUCUUGUGUUGCAUGCCUAAUUUAAUGGUAUUGCUUGAUGUAUUGGUUUUCCUUUUGUUUUGCAUUGCCUAUGCGAUGUGAGAUGAACCUUGAAGCAGCCUUUGUGAUCCACUGAUUUGAUGUAUAUGCAUUGAUUUUGUGGCCCAUUGAGUGUUGCUCGAUCUCAUGGAUAUGGAACCUGGUGUGGGCAUGGAAUCUUAAUGGUUCCUUGUUUGCCCAAGUUUAGCUUUUCUAAAACGAUUGUCUAUCAUGUGUUAACAUGCUAGACUACUUCGAAUAUGAAUGCUACCUGGUUGAUCC
Molecule: unclassified non-coding RNA, 416 nt
Filed under: Pseudognaphalium sp. RS-2020
Lineage: Eukaryota; Viridiplantae; Streptophyta; Magnoliopsida; Asterales; Asteraceae
Description: partial external transcribed spacer
Source: RNAcentral